GUCCACGCCUAACGAUGGAUACUCGACAUACGCGAUAUACUGUGUGUGUCUGAGCGAAGCAUUAAGUAUCCCACCUGGGAAGUACGAUCGCAAGAUUGAACUCAAGGAAUUGACGGGGUCCGCACAAGCGGUGGAGCAUGUGGUUUAAUUCGAUGAUACGCGAGGAACCUUACCUGGGCUAGAAUGCGGUUUGACCGUAGGUGAAGCUUAUUUGUAGCAAUACACAGAUCGUAAGGUGCUGCAUGGCUGUCGU
This 253-nucleotide ribosomal RNA is filed under the name uncultured bacterium. RNAcentral describes it as "partial 16S ribosomal RNA". It matches the Rfam family "Bacterial small subunit ribosomal RNA", at positions 793 to 1055 of the family's 1533-position model. The record is from RNAcentral.